This 499-nucleotide small RNA is filed under the name Pongo abelii (Sumatran orangutan). RNAcentral's name for it is "processed transcript". Lineage: Eukaryota; Metazoa; Chordata; Mammalia; Primates; Hominidae. The record is from RNAcentral.
GCUGCUUUCAUGCUCCCAUGUGUUCCACAAAAAAGAACCAGUAUCAAACCCGAGUGAUACACGAUGGGGCCCGCCUGUUCAGAAUCAAGUGUGCGACCAGAAUCCAAGCCUACUGGAGAGGAUACGUUGUUAGAAAGUGGUACAGAAACCUGAGGAAAACAGUACCUCCCACAGACGCCAAGUUAAGAAAAAAAUUCUUUGAAAAAAAGGUAGGUAGAGAUCAUUAUGUUCUCCAGGUAUGGUCUCUGUGCGGGUGAUUCACUUGGGGUCAGGAAGGCUAACAGAGGUGGUAAAACUUUGAGGCUUACUUCACUUUGAGGGCUUUUUAAAAAUGGUUGAGAUGCUGCUAAAAAUCCUGUUUAACUUAAGUUGGCUUUCCAACCUAGAUGGUAAAAUACUUUUAGACUUUCUUUUCUAGUUAAAUCAUAAAAUUAGGUUAAAUCAAAGCAACUUCUGUUUGGCCAUUUUGUGCUAAUUGUUUAAAUAAACUUAUCUCUUC